GGCGGCACGGUGUCCCCGAAACUACACGGGCGGCGCGUGCGCGGCGCCAGCACAUUUUGGGGGACAAGAGGCGGUGAUGCGCACGGGGGCCCCACAGAAAUCGGGUCGGGCCGUCCCCGCGGCAGGACCCGUGACCCUGGCGAGAGCUGGAAACGCCGGUCGUGCACCGGAAGGGGCCGGGCAGGGUGGCCCGGGGCCGCAGCACGGAGGAGUGGUUCACGUGGAACUCGAGCGAGGAAAGAUUUGGGACCAGGAGUGCGGCCUUCCCUUUUGGACAAUGCUCCCAAGGCCUUAUCGGCUCAGACUUUCCUUCCUGCCCUAGUUCCCUCACCACACAGCAAGCAUCUGUGACGUCAGCGCCGGGGCUGCAGGGCCAACAAGAAGUGGUUUGUGUUGCUGUGGCCGUUCGGUUCCAGCGAGGGAGCCAAGCAAACGUGGAAGAGCAUUCUCAGUGCUGAGAGGGACUAGAAGGGAAGAACAUGGGGUUUAGACAGUGACUGGGGAAUGAAGGUGGGCAGGAGGGAAGGGGACAUUUGAACUGUCGCUCCAUACGGAUGCAACCCUGAGAGGACCUGACAGACAGUGCCAGGCAGAAGAUGACCUGGGAGCUACCUGAGUCAAUGUCACCCAUCUGGGCAAGUCCUUCAGGCAGGAGAAGCCACUGUGGAGAGCUGGCCUUCUCUGAGCAAGACUUGCCCAUUCAGCAAGCACUUUUUGGCCUCCACCGUGCUGAUGGAGUGGCAGAGAAUAAAAGAAAGAGAAGACAAUGAAGCCAAUGUAGCUGAGAAGGAGCAUUUCUGAAAUUGGAAGCUCUCCCCUACACCAAACAUGCAAUAGAGGAAGUGAAAAUUUGGCCUGAAAACUCCAGUUUGAAGAAGG
Prionailurus viverrinus (fishing cat) is the source of this 879-nucleotide long non-coding RNA. RefSeq lists it as uncharacterized. The record is from RefSeq and is a predicted model, not a curated record. The transcript is spliced from 4 exons. NCBI's taxonomy places the organism in Eukaryota, Metazoa, Chordata, Mammalia, Carnivora, Felidae.